RNAcentral lists this ribosomal RNA (446 nucleotides) under uncultured bacterium. RNAcentral's name for it is "partial 16S ribosomal RNA". It matches the Rfam family "Bacterial small subunit ribosomal RNA", at positions 338 to 795 of the family's 1533-position model. The record is from RNAcentral.
CCUACGGGUGGCAGCAGUAGGGAAUCUUCGGCAAUGGGGGGAACCCUGACCGAGCAACGCCGCGUGAACGAAGAAUUUAUUCGUAAUGUAAAGUUCUUUUAACAGGGAAGAAAGAGAAAUUUGACGGUACCUGAAGAAUAAGCUCCGGCUAACUACGUUCCAGCAGCCGCGGUAAUACGUAGGGAGCGAGCGUUAUCCCGAAUUAUUGGGCGUAAAGGGUUCGUAGAUGGCAUUAUAAUUUUUUUGUAAAAAUGCUGGGCUCAACCCAGUAGGGCAAAAGAAACUGCAAAGCUAGAGUAUGACAGAGGCAAGUGGAACUACAUGUGUAGCGGUAAUAUGCGUAAAUAUAUGUAAGAACACCAGUGGCGAAGGCGGCUUGCUGGGUCGAUACUGACAUUGAGGCACGAAAGCGUGGGGAGCAAACAGGAUUAGAUACCCUUGUAGUC